Molecule: small nucleolar RNA, 138 nt
Filed under: Leersia perrieri
Lineage: Eukaryota; Viridiplantae; Streptophyta; Magnoliopsida; Poales; Poaceae
Description: snoRNA snoF1_F2
Rfam family: Small nucleolar RNA F1/F2/snoR5a
About the family: This family contains F1, F2 and snoR5a sequences, all of which are members of the the H/ACA class of snoRNA that guide the sites of modification of uridines to pseudouridines.
Source: Rfam by way of RNAcentral
CCUUGCCAUUUGGUAUCUGACAUGUGGUCUUUUGUGACUAUUUGUCUCGAAAUAUGGCAUAUAACUAGGGGGAACAGACCUUGCGACAUUGGUGGCUCCUCUUAUGAUCCUCCAAUUACUAUAUCGCCGUUUACAUUU